Molecule: long non-coding RNA, 512 nt
Filed under: Cricetulus griseus (Chinese hamster)
Lineage: Eukaryota; Metazoa; Chordata; Mammalia; Rodentia; Cricetidae
Description: lncRNA (ENSCGRG00015021619.2)
Source: RNAcentral
GCGCCGCCCCCUCCGGCCGCCCGGGCCGGCCUUCCCCGCUGACUGACAGCGGGACCUCCUCCCGCGGCCAGCCGGGCCUGGGAAGCGGCGCGGAGGCGGCUCCGGCCCUGCCCAGCGCGCGGCCCCCGGAGCUCAGGCCGGGGAGCGGGGGAGGGGGCGGCGUGCACGGGUUCCAAGCCCGAGGCGAGGCGGGAUAACGGGACCCGGAGGCCGAAAGCGGAGCUGGCCGGCAGGAAUCUACUCAAGGAGUGUGAGAACCAGCUAUUAUCCCAAGAUAGGUCUGCCUGCCUUCCCCAAGUUUCACAAUCUGGCUACACAACCAGACAUGGCCAUCUUUGAGAAAGUCGUAGUCGGGGGCAGAUUCCUUGAAAAGCGUUCUUUGGAUCCUCUGAGUGUUCAUGUCUUGGAGAAGCCUCCCCGGGAGGGAUUGACAUUGUGGGUGUACAGCUCAGAGUUGGUGAAUAUAACGUGAACACUGUUAACUUCAUUACACAUCAUGUAGGUAUUAUAAU